This 1592-nucleotide long non-coding RNA is filed under the name Lupinus angustifolius (narrow-leaved blue lupine). RNAcentral describes it as "long non-coding RNA (LANG_LNC002595)". Lineage: Eukaryota; Viridiplantae; Streptophyta; Magnoliopsida; Fabales; Fabaceae. The record is from RNAcentral.
UGACAAUGAAUAAAUAUCAUAAGAAUCUAGGAGUGAGAUGAGUUGUGUGGCUGAAAGUAAUUGUCUCGUAUCCAAACCGCCCUAUAAAAUAACCCUUUUACCCAAUCGGUGUUCCUAUUUUUUUCUCAAUUCUUAUUCUCCCUCAAAUCCUUGCACUUCUUCUUCUCCUUUCCCCUUUUCCACUGUUAUUAGGUAUUCUCGCUAUUCCCUGUUUCCACCUUUUCUUUUUAAAAUUAGUUUCUUAUUUUGAUUGAUCUAUCUUCUGCAUAUUCUUUUCAUAUUUAGGUUUUAGUUUUUAGUUUUUAGAUUUCUCUGCAUAACGAUAAUACAUAACAAUAACUGACCAAGUUUAUAACUUUAACCCUUCGACCUUUUUUGUGAUUUUAAUUUUUUCUUUAAUACCAUCCUAUUAGUUCUUAUAUCAGGUGUUUAUUGUAUCAAUUUAGCAUAAUGAUAUAUUUUAGGGUUUUGAAGAGUAUUAUGCUGUAUUUGCACUUUGCAGCAUAAUUUAUGUUCAAUUUUGUUUUAAUUGGCGGUUCAAUUUAUUUACUCGUUUUUAAUUAAUCUUAAUGCAACUUUUACUUGGAUCUUUAUUCUGUCAGCUCCCUAUAGCUUAUAGGUGAACGUAAUAUCUUGUGAUUCCAUUAUCUUCUUUUUGAUCAGUUUGUUGGGUUUGUAAGUUCAAUCACUGUUAUUUCCUUUCUAGAAGUCUCUACUUUUGGGUUAGGAGCAGGGUAGGUUUUUUAUUCUCUAGUUUCAUGGAUCGUUGCAGCCUUGAGUAACAUAGAAGGUCCUAUUUGAUUAUAGAGUCUUAAGUAAUGAACUUUUCUGUGAUUAAGUCCAUUUGAACAGUAGUGAUGUAAUGAGUGCAUAUAUAUAGUACCAAAUUCCAUGUCCAUGUGUAAAUGAUUAGUGUUUCUAGUUUGUGAGGUGGAGUGCGUAUAAGGAUUAGAUAAUUCAUAUUUGAAAAGAAUAUGACUGUGGCCUCAUGUAAUUGUUGUUGUUAAAGUCUUAGUGUCUAUUUGCAAGUUGGAUAUUGGAGAGCAACGGAGGGAAGGGAAAGGCUGCGAAGCCAUGAAAUAUACUUGUAAGAUGACUCUCAAAUCCUCCCUUUCCUUUCCCUCUAAAAAUUAACUCACAAACAGAGCUUAGAGAUAUAAAACCAUCCCCAAGACUUCACUUUGCAGCCUAAACUUUUAGAAGAGUUGGACCUUGACAAUGUUUUUUCAUUUGGCAUCAUUAUAUUUAUGCUGUCUUUUUUAUUUCCUGUUUGUAAAACAAUUUCUAUUUAUUAUAGGUUGAUUUAUAUUUUAACAUAUAUUAGGAACUAGUUGUGAGUAAAAUUUAAAUCUUCAGGGAUUUUGAUUGUUAUAUAUCAUCUGACCUGAAGUAUAUUUGAUUUUUUUCCAGUAUUGAGUGGUUGAUUAGAUCAGUAGGCCUUCAUCACAACUCACGUAACCAAGGAAAAUUUCAUGUCUGAAUUCGACACGAACAUCCCAACUGCUUUUGGUGAGUGUUAAGUCUCUGUGUUCAAACAUUUUUGUGGUAUCCAGAUUUCUUAACCACAAUUUAUGAUUGGUUUCUGAUGUGGU